RNAcentral lists this ribosomal RNA (821 nucleotides) under uncultured bacterium. RNAcentral's name for it is "bacterial SSU rRNA". It matches the Rfam family "Bacterial small subunit ribosomal RNA", at positions 82 to 877 of the family's 1533-position model. The record is from RNAcentral.
CCUUGGGUGACGAGUGGCGGACGGGUGAGUAAUGUCUGGGAAACUGCCCGAUGGAGGGGGAUAACUACUGGAAACGGUAGCUAAUACCGCAUAACGUCGCAAGACCAAAGAGGGGGACCUUCGGGCCUCUUGCCAUCGGAUGUGCCCAGAUGGGAUUAGCUAGUAGGUGGGGUAACGGCUCACCUAGGCGGCGAUCCCUAGCUGGUCUGAGAGGAUGACCAGCCACACUGGAACUGAAGACACGGUUCCCAGAACUCCUACGGGGAGGCAGCCAGUGGGGGAAUAUUUGCACAAAUGGGAGCAAGCCUGAAGGCAGCCCAUGCCGCGUGUAUUGAUGAAGAGCCUUCGGGGUUGUUAAAGUACUUUCAAGCGAGGAGGGAAGGCGUUGUGGUUAAAUAACCGCAAACGAUUGACGUUACUCGCAGAAGAAGCACCGGCUAACUCCCGUGCCAGCAAGCCGCGGUAAUACGGAGGGUGCAAAGCGUUAUUCGGAAUUACUGGGCGUAAAGCGCACGCAGGCGGUCUGUCAAGUCGGAUGUGAAAUCCCCGGGCUCAACCUGGGAACUGCAUCCGAAACUGGCAGGCUAGAGUCUUGUAGAGGGGGGUAGAAUUCCAGGUGUAGCGGUGAAAUGCGUAGAGAUCUGGAGGAAUACCGGUGGCGAAGGCGGCCCCCUGGACAAAGACUGACGCUCAGGUGCGAAAGCGUGGGGAGCAAACAGGAUUAGAUACCCUGGUAGUCCACGCCGUAAACGAUGUCGACUUGGAGGUUGUGCCCUUGAGGCGUGGCUUCCGGAGCUAACGCGUUAAGUCGACCGCCUGGG